This 117-nucleotide ribosomal RNA is filed under the name uncultured bacterium. Its description in RNAcentral is "partial 16S ribosomal RNA". It matches the Rfam family "Bacterial small subunit ribosomal RNA", at positions 1369 to 1482 of the family's 1533-position model. The record is from RNAcentral.
CGUUCCCGGGCCUUGUACACACCGCCCGUCACGUCACGAAAGUCGGUAACACCCGAAGCCGGUGGCCUAACCCCUUGUGGGAGGGAGCUGUCGAAGGUGGGACUGGCGAUUGGGACG